CUCCAGACUCCUACGGGAGGCAGCAGUGGGGAAUAUUGGGCAAUGGGCGCAAGCCUGACCCAGCAACGCCGCGUGAAGGAAGAAGGCUUUCGGGUUGUAAACUUCUUUUCUGAGGGACGAAGAAAGUGACGGUACCUCAGGAAUAAGCCACGGCUAACUACGUGCCAGCAGCCGCGGUAAUACGUAGGUGGCAAGCGUUAUCCGGAUUUAUUGGGUGUAAAGGGCGUGUAGGCGGGAAAGCAAGUCAGAUGUGAAAACUCAGGGCUCAACCCUGAGCCUGCAUUUGAAACUGUUUUUCUUGAGUGCUGGAGAGGCAAUCGGAAUUCCGUGUGUAGCGGUGAAAUGCGUAGAUAUUAGGAGGAACACCAGUGGCGAAGGCGGCUUGCUGGACUGUAACUGACGUUGAGGCUCGAAAGCGUGGGGAGCAAACAGGAUUAGAUACCCGUGUAAC
Molecule: ribosomal RNA, 451 nt
Filed under: uncultured bacterium
Lineage: Bacteria
Description: bacterial SSU rRNA
Rfam family: Bacterial small subunit ribosomal RNA
Source: RNAcentral